This 1065-nucleotide ribosomal RNA is filed under the name human oral metagenome. RNAcentral describes it as "bacterial SSU rRNA". It matches the Rfam family "Bacterial small subunit ribosomal RNA", at positions 8 to 1371 of the family's 1533-position model. The record is from RNAcentral.
AGAGUUUGAUCCUGGCUCAGGAUGAACGCUAGCUAUAGGCUUAACACAUGCAAGUCGAGGGGAAACGGCAUUAUGUGCUUGCACAUUUUGGACGUCGACCGGCGCACGGGUGAGUAUCGCGUAUCCAACCUGCCCUUUACUUGGGGAUACCCCGUUGAAAGACGGCCUAAUACCCGAUGUAAUUCAUUGAUGGCAUCAGAUAUGAAUAAAAGAUUUAUCGGUAAAGGAUGGGGAUGCGUCUGAUUAGCUUGUUGGUGAGGUAAAGGCUCACCAAGGCAACGAUCAGUAGGGGUUCUGAGAGGAAGGUCCCCCACAUUGGAACUGAGACACGGUCCAAACUCCUACGGGAGGCAGCAGUGAGGAAUAUUAUUGCAUGUAUCGUAUGAAUAAGGACCGGCUAAUUCCGUGCCAGCAGCCGCGGUAAUACGGAAGGUCCAGGCGUUAUCCGGAUUUAUUGGGUUUAAAGGGAGUGUAGGCGGUUUGUUAAGCGUGUUGUGAAAUUUAGGUGCUCAACAUUUAACUUGCAGCGCGAACUGUCAGACUUGAGUACACGCAACGUAUGCGGAAUUCAUGGUGUAGCGGUGAAAUGCUUAGAUAUCAUGAAGAACUCCGAUUGCGAAGGCAGCAUACGGGAGUGUAACUGACGCUUAAGCUCGAAGGUGCGGGUAUCGAACAGGAUUAGAUACCCUGGUAGUCCGCACAGUAAACGAUGGAUGCCCGCUGUUAGCGCCUGGCGUUAGCGGCUAAGCGAAAGCAUUAAGCAUCCCACCUGGGGAGUACGCCGGCAACGGUGAAACUCAAAGGAAUUGACGGGGGCCCGCACAAGCGGAGGAACAUGGACACUGCCACCGCAAGGUGCGAGGAAGGUGGGGAUGACGUCAAAUCAGCACGGCCCUUACGUCCGGGGCUACACACGUGUUACAAUGGCCGGUACAGAGGGACGGUGCAAUGCAAGUUGCAUCCAAUCUUGAAAUCCGGUCCCAGUUCGGACUGGGGUCUGCAACCCGACCCCACGAAGCUGGAUUCGCUAGUAAUCGCGCAUCAGCCAUGGCGCGGUGAAUACGU